RNAcentral lists this ribosomal RNA (301 nucleotides) under uncultured bacterium. RNAcentral's name for it is "partial 16S ribosomal RNA". It matches the Rfam family "Bacterial small subunit ribosomal RNA", at positions 509 to 807 of the family's 1533-position model. The record is from RNAcentral.
CAGCCGCCGCGGUAAUACGAAGGUCCCGAGCGUUGUUCGGAAUCACUGGGCGUAAAGGGAGCGUAGGCGGCGUGGUAAGUCAGAUGUGAAAUCCCGGGGCUCAACCCCGGAACUGCAUCCGAUACUGCCGUGCUAGAAGAUUGGAGAGGUAGCUGGAAUUCUUGGUGUAGCAGUGAAAUGCGUGGAGAUCAAGAGGAACACUCGUGGCGAAAGCGAGCUACUGGACAAUAUCUGACGCUGAGGCUCGAAGGCCAGGGUAGCGAAAGGGAUUAGAUACCCCUGUAGUCCCUGUCUCUUAUAC